GGAGGAAUAGGAAAAUCACCAAGGGAAAAGGUAAUAACAAGUGAAUCAACCAGAAGGCCCCAGGAUCCUCCUGUGGAUAAUGAAGCUGGAAUGAACAAUUGCCCUCAGGUGACACCAUACUGUGGCCAGGACCAGGAUGGAUUUAGAUGGCACAGACCCUGGAAGCCCCGAAUGGCCAGCUGGGCGACCUCACAACCUCACAGGUCUUACCAUAUGACACCAAGUCUUACAUGCUGAAAUUAAUCUCAAAACAUGCAUAAUGAACAAAAUAAAGCACAUUUUCACCUGUGCACCUGCAGAAGAUGAAGACGGCUUCUGAGCACACACCAUGCCCAGAGGAAAAGCAGAUCUCGGGGCUUAAAGAAGAAGGUGCUUGGCUUGGAACUGAACAAAUUAUCUCUGAACCCUGGAGGGCACAUGAAAAUCUGUCCUCUUGGGGGUUCAGCUAGCAUCUUGCUCAUUUUAAAAUGUGUGUAUGUUUUCGUUGAUGCCACAACUCGAUCUGGAUUUACUCUUCUGCGCUGGGCACGUGCGGUUGGGAAGGGCUUGGGCUGGAACCACAAGCAAUGAUUUGGGUCUCAUCUCCACUACGGCUGUGCUAUGGGGUCUUGGACAGGCCAUUUGUCUACGCUGCACCUCAGCUUUCUUAUAUGAAAAAACAUGUAUAGAUCAUGAAAGUGACCCCAACCUACAGUAACAUGAAGCUGUAGUAAUAAAUUAGGUAGGGAAUAAAGUUAACGAUUAAAUUAAAAUUA
Molecule: long non-coding RNA, 755 nt
Organism: Heterocephalus glaber (naked mole-rat)
Lineage: Eukaryota; Metazoa; Chordata; Mammalia; Rodentia; Bathyergidae
Source: RefSeq, a predicted model, not a curated record